CCUACGGGACGCAGCAGUGGGGAAUUUUGCGCAAUGCUCGUAAGAGUGACGCAGCGACGUCGCGUGAGGGAAUAAGGCCCUACGGGUCGUAAACCUCUUUUGCCGGGGAGCAAGGGCGGGGACGUGUCCCGGCCCGGAGAGUACCCGGAGAAAAAGCAUCGGCUAACUCCGUGCCAGCAGCCGCGGUAAUACGGAGGAUGCGAGCGUUAUCCGGAUUUAUUGGGUUUAAAGGGUGCGUAGGCGGGCUUUUAAGUCAGCGGUAAAAAUUCGGGGCUCAACCCCGUCCGGCCGUUGAAACUGGGGGC
RNAcentral lists this ribosomal RNA (305 nucleotides) under uncultured bacterium. Its description in RNAcentral is "bacterial SSU rRNA". It matches the Rfam family "Bacterial small subunit ribosomal RNA", at positions 338 to 640 of the family's 1533-position model. The record is from RNAcentral.